GGGGAUUUAGCUCAGCGGCAUAAGCGCCUGCCUUGCAAGCAGGCGGUUGUGAGUUCAAUCCCCA
RNAcentral lists this transfer RNA (64 nucleotides) under Cavia porcellus (domestic guinea pig). It matches the Rfam family "tRNA", at positions 1 to 62 of the family's 71-position model. From Rfam's summary of the family: Transfer RNA (tRNA) molecules are approximately 80 nucleotides in length. Their secondary structure includes four short double-helical elements and three loops (D, anti-codon, and T loops). Lineage: Eukaryota; Metazoa; Chordata; Mammalia; Rodentia; Caviidae. The record is from Rfam by way of RNAcentral.